Molecule: ribosomal RNA, 490 nt
Filed under: uncultured bacterium
Lineage: Bacteria
Description: bacterial SSU rRNA
Rfam family: Bacterial small subunit ribosomal RNA
Source: RNAcentral
GAACGCUAGCUACAGGCUUAACACAUGCAAGUCGAGGGGCAGCAUACUGAUAGCUUGCUAUCAGUGAUGGCGACCGGCGCACGGGUGAGUAACGCGUAUCCAACCUUCCCCGUAGUAGGGCACAGCCCGGCGAAAAGUCGGAUUAAUUCCCUAUGUUCUCCAAUGCAGACAUCUAAGUUGGAGCAAAGAUUGAUCGCUAUGGGAUGGGGAUGCGUCUGAUUAGGUUGUCGGCGGGGUAACGGCCCACCGAGCCCGCGAUCAGUAGGGGUUCUGAGAGGAAGGUCCCCCACAUUGGAACUGAGACACGGUCCAAACUCCUACGGGAGGCAGCAGUGAGGAAUAUUGGUCAAUGGAGGCAACUCUGAACCAGCCAAGUAGCGUGCAGGAUGACGGCCCUAUGGGUUGUAAACUGCUUUUAUAAGGGAAUAAAGGAUGCCACGUGUGGUGUUUUGCAUGUACCUUAUGAAUAAGGACCGGCUAAUUCCGUGCC